GUCUAUAGCCAUAUCACCCUAUUGCACCCAAUCUCAUUUGAUUUCAGAAGCUAAACUAGGCUAGGCCUGGUUACUAUGAAUG
RNAcentral lists this ribosomal RNA (82 nucleotides) under Sorex araneus (European shrew). Lineage: Eukaryota; Metazoa; Chordata; Mammalia; Eulipotyphla; Soricidae. The record is from RNAcentral.